Molecule: ribosomal RNA, 440 nt
Filed under: uncultured bacterium
Lineage: Bacteria
Description: partial 16S ribosomal RNA
Rfam family: Bacterial small subunit ribosomal RNA
Source: RNAcentral
CCUACGGGAGGCAGCAGUAGGGAAUAUUGCUCAAUGGGGGAAACCCUGAAGCAGCAACGCCGCGUGGAGGAUGAAGGUUUUCGGAUUGUAAACUCCUUUUGUUAGAGAAGAUAAUGACGGUAUCUAACGAAUAAGCACCGGCUAACUCCGUGCCAGCAGCCGCGGUAAUACGGCGGGUGCAAGCGUUACUCGGAAUCACUGGGCGUAAAGAGCUCGUAGGCGGGAUAGAAAGUCAGAUGUGAAAUCCUAUGGCUUAACCAUAGAACUGCAUUUGAAACUGUUAUUCUAGAGUAUGGGAGAGGUAGGUGGAAUGCGUGGUGUAGCGGUAAAAUCCGUAGAGAUCAAGAGGAAUACUCAUUGCGAAGGCGACCUGCUAGAACAUAACUGACGCUAAUGCACGAAAGCGUGGGGAGCGAACAGGAUUAGAUACCCCAGUAGUC